GCGUCGGUAAAGCAACGGUCUAGCACGCGCUCCCGGAAAUGAGUGAAAUCUGGGUUCGAAUCCCGGCUGACGCA
Non-coding RNA from Parelaphostrongylus tenuis, 74 nucleotides. Lineage: Eukaryota; Metazoa; Nematoda; Chromadorea; Rhabditida; Metastrongylidae. The record is from the annotation of a GenBank genome assembly.